UAACGGCCCACCGUGGCGACGAUGCGUAGGGGUUCUGAGAGGAAGGUCCCCCACACUGGUACUGAGACACGGACCAGACUCCUACGGGAGGCAGCAGUGAGGAAUAUUGGUCAAUGGGAGAGAUCCUGAACCAGCCAAGCCGCGUGAGGGAAGACGGCCCUAUGGGUUGUAAACCUCUUUUGUCGGAGAACAAAACCCGGGACGUGUCCCGGACUGCGUGUAUCCGAAGAAAAAGCAUCGGCUAACUCCGUGCCAGCAGCCGCGGUAAUACGGAGGAUGCGAGCGUUAUCCGGAUUUAUUGGGUUUAAAGGGUGCGUAGGCGGUCCGUUAAGUCAGCGGUAAAAUUGCGGGGCUCAACCCCGUCGAGCCGUUGAAACUGGCAGACUUGAGUUGGCGAGAAGUACGCGGAAUGCGCGGUGUAGCGGUGAAAUGCAUAGAUAUCGCGCAGAACUCCGAUUGCGAAGGCAGCGUACCGGCGCCAGACUGACGCUGAGGCACGAAAGCGUGGGGAUCGAACAGGAUUAGAUACCCUGGUAGUCCACGCAGUAAACGAUGAAUGCUGGUUGUCCGGGUCGAAUGAGAUCUGGGCGGC
Molecule: ribosomal RNA, 592 nt
Filed under: uncultured bacterium
Lineage: Bacteria
Description: bacterial SSU rRNA
Rfam family: Bacterial small subunit ribosomal RNA
Source: RNAcentral